AUGCUCAUUUUGGCAGCACAUAUACUAAAAUUGGAAAAAUAUAGAGAAGAUUAGCAUGACCCCUGUGCAGUGAUGACAUGUGAAAUCAUGAAGUGUUUCAUAUUUAA
Molecule: small nuclear RNA, 107 nt
Organism: Jaculus jaculus (lesser Egyptian jerboa)
Lineage: Eukaryota; Metazoa; Chordata; Mammalia; Rodentia; Dipodidae
Source: Ensembl